Long non-coding RNA from Sapajus apella (tufted capuchin), 1648 nucleotides. RefSeq lists it as uncharacterized. The record is from RefSeq and is a predicted model, not a curated record. The transcript is spliced from 4 exons. Lineage: Eukaryota; Metazoa; Chordata; Mammalia; Primates; Cebidae.
GAUGGGGAAGGGGACAGAGAGAGAGAGGAAGCCACAGGGAAGACAGACAGGGCCACAGACAGAGGACAGCCGGCCAGGGUGGCUGUGCGUGGAGCCCAGAGAGGCCCUGUCAGUGAGCGGAUGCUGGCCUAGAGGCGGUCUCCGGUCGUGCCACAGCUCUGUUCCCAGCCUUGGAGAAACAAACCAACCGGAUCCACAGACGCCGGAACCCGGGAGGGACACUAACGCCGCUGGCAUCCAGCUGAGCUCAGUGCGAGAUUCAGCAGAUGGAAUUUAAUACAGACACUUUGGAAAGUUCUGCAUCUGGCUUUGAAAACUAACUGCACAAGCAGUGGGGAGGGAGAGCGGCCUGUCCGCAGCCCCUGCAGGAGCUGAGCCCGGGGCUCAGCAGAGUCGCUGGGUGUUGAGUUGCUGGAAAAGCUCAUGUGGGAAUCAGCAAGGCUCACAGCUGCUAGAGGCAUCAGACAGAAGUGGCAGAGGCACCGAGGGAGGAAGAUUCUGAGGGGGUAAACUGGAAGCACGGACAGGCCGGGAGUGAGGCGGGAUCUGGACACCCACGACCAGACGGAGGAGCAUUUGUCACUUUAGGAACCUUUGCUGGGAGGAGAACAUGCUGAUUUGCUAAGACCUGGGUCCCAGAGGUCUGAGUGGAGACAUUUUCCUCCGAGGUGGGAGUUUUCUGCUCUAGGGAUGACAUCCCCUCAUGUCCAGCAAGAACACACUGAACCACUUGUCCAUGUAGAGACAGAUGAGCAGCGUCCUGCCUUCCAACACCACGUAUCACCUGUGCCUGUUCCGGGACUUCAUACAAAUGCACUCACACCGUCUGGCGCUCAUGCGUGUUUCGUUUCCACUUUGUUCAACAUCAUGUGUGUGUUUCAUCCAGGUCGGUGUGUUGAGUUGCAUGCUGUUGAUUCUUAUUGAUGUGUGAUGUUUGUAUAUUGUAUGACUAUGCAGCGAUUUGUUUACCCGUCUAACUCUAAAUGAGAUCUGAGUACUUUCCAGUUUGGGGCUGUUGUGAACAGUGCCGCUAUAAGGUUUUUGCAAGUGCUUUUUGGUGAACAUAUGGGUGAAUUUCUGUUGGGCAGAUACUUAGGAAUGGAAUUUCUGAGUCAUAAAUUACACACAGGUUCAGCAUCAAAAGAGACUGCUGAACAGUUUUGCAAAGUGGUUCUUUCAAUUUAUGAGGCUUUGUCUACAGACUUGUCCCUGAGCAACCUGCCCUCCCAUGACCUUACCUGGUCUGUGGGUUGCCUCAGGUCCCCUGAGCCUGCUGCUCAGUUCUCCCUCCCGGUCUUUGUCCUUCCCUGGGUCUUUGGUGCAGGACUCUCUGUUCCUGGGUCCUAAUGUUGGCUCCUGGAGACACAUUCUCAAGCCACUCUGAAUGGCAUCCUCUGGGUCUGGUGUGACCUGGCUGCCUUCCCCACACUGGGGCCUUCCUUGGUGGCAGAGCCUCCCUCACAUCCUGACCUUCCUCCUGGGGGUCCAUGGGUCAAGUGCUCUACUGAGCACGGGGAGGGGGGGUCUUUGUUAAACCCAGUGUGGGUCCUGCCCUUGUGGGGUUCAUAGACUGGUGUGGAGAUGGAUCCUGGGCCUUUCUUCCUACGCUUCAAAGGUGGGCAGUUGAGUCUAAGAGGAAGAGAUGGAC